Molecule: long non-coding RNA, 1200 nt
Filed under: Phascolarctos cinereus (koala)
Lineage: Eukaryota; Metazoa; Chordata; Mammalia; Diprotodontia; Phascolarctidae
Description: lncRNA (ENSPCIG00000032412.1)
Source: RNAcentral
CUCACAGCAGCCAGGAAGGCAAAAAUUCCCCUCUCUAUCCCAUCCCACUUCUUCUAUCAGCUUUUCCCAUACCCUCUACCCCACCAUUGUAGCAGUGGACUCUUGUCUUCUGGGGUAGUAGAAAGCUACCCUUUCCCCUUUUUUGGUGGGAAAAAUCGAGUAGCACAGAGAAGUGGAUGUGGAUGGUUUACGAUAAAAUUUUAUUUCCCCUCAGAUCAUCUCCCUUCUACCAAUGUUCCCUAUUUUCAUCAAAGGCACCACCAUCCCUCCAGUCUCCCAGACUUUAUUCUCCUUCAAGCUCAACUAAAAAUGCUCAUUUCUUUUUAAAAAAAUUUAAUUGUAUUAUAUUUUUAGGUCCAAAUUAUUUCCCUCUCUCUAGUGCCUCUUUGACCCAUUGAGAAGGCAAGAAAUACAAUAUUUAUUAUACAUUUGAAGUCAUGUAAAGCAUCUCCAAAUUGUCCAUGUUCUGGGGAAAAAAAGCAAGAAAAACAACGAAAAAGAGUUUGAAUGAAUGACAUGCAGCACCUCCCACAACUCUAUGUCCUCACUGUUACUUCACUCUGCUUCUGCAGGGGCCAUUCUUCCUGGCCUCCAAAGCUACAGCUUGAGGUACCGAUGCCUGAUUAAACAGUGCUCUGCUGGUAGAGCUUCUUCUCUCUCUUUUGUGAAACUGUCCAGGCAAUAUGUCCUUGGCCUAAUUGAUGUAGUUUCAGUUCUUUUUUUUUUUUUUUUGGUCCAUCCUAGCCUACAUCCAUACCUGAGUAGCAUACAAAAAGCCUACCAAAAGUUUGCCAGAAAGUUCAUUAGGGAGCCCCUAGCCCUCUACAUCCCAUUGGUUAGGGUGAGUAAAUCCCUUCAUUCCUUUGGCGUCUUGUGCCAAAUCCAUGCAAAUGACCCUGAGUCUUUGACAAACCUCAGUGAAGGCAUUAGCAAUCCUGAAGGAGCCAGAGCUGAGCUGAUACCCUUUCCCUUACAUUCCUGCCUCUUCAGCCAAGCCCACGCAAGGACUUGCAGGGAAAGAGAAAACCCCUCACCUUAGGGGGCCCAGUGGCAAGAGCUCUCCAGAUCAAAGCUCAUCUGCCAGCCGCCAGGAGGAAUGGGCCGCUGCUAACUGCAAGAAUGUAAGACUCCAAGGUAGGGAGAUGUGAGAUUGGGGGCCAGAGGCCAGAUGUGUGGGGGAUGAAUAGAGAUAAAGCCCUG